CAGUCGCCGCGGUAAUACGAAGGGGGCUAGCGUUGUUCGGAAUUACUGGGCGUAAAGCGCACGUAGGCGGAUUUUUAAGUCAGGGGUGAAAUCCCGAGGCUCAACCUGGGGACUGCGCUUGAUACGGUCGAGCUAGAGGAUGGAAGAGGGUUGUGGAAUUCCCAGUGUAGAGGUGAAAUUCGUAGAUAUUGGGAAGAACACCGGUGGCGAAGGCGGCAACCUGGUCCAUUACUGACGCUGAGGCGCGACAGCGUGGGGAGCAAACAGGAUUAGAUACCCCCGUAGUCCCUGUCUCUUAUAC
RNAcentral lists this ribosomal RNA (301 nucleotides) under uncultured bacterium. RNAcentral's name for it is "partial 16S ribosomal RNA". It matches the Rfam family "Bacterial small subunit ribosomal RNA", at positions 509 to 807 of the family's 1533-position model. The record is from RNAcentral.